This 463-nucleotide ribosomal RNA is filed under the name uncultured bacterium. RNAcentral's name for it is "partial 16S ribosomal RNA". It matches the Rfam family "Bacterial small subunit ribosomal RNA", at positions 27 to 507 of the family's 1533-position model. The record is from RNAcentral.
GGAUAAACGCUGGCGGCGUGCUUAACACAUGCAAGUCGAACGAAGUUUUUCUUUCGGGAGGAACUUAGUGGCGGACGGGUGAGUAACGCGUGGGUAACCUGCCCUGUACAGGGGGACAACAGCUGGAAACGGCUGCUAAUACCGCAUAAGCCCUUAGCACUGCAUGGUGCAUAGGGAAAAGGAGCAAUCCGGUACAGGAUGGACCCGCGUCUGAUUAGCCAGUUGGCAGGGUAACGGCCUACCAAAGCGACGAUCAGUAGCCGAUCUGAGAGGAUGUACGGCCACAUUGGGACUGAGACACGGCCCAGACUCCUACGGGAGGCAGCAGUGGGGAAUAUUGCACAAUGGAGGAAACUCUGAUGCAGCGACGCCGCGUGAGUGAAGAAGUAUUUCGGUAUGUAAAGCUCUAUCAGCAGGAAAGAAAAUGACGGUACCUGACUAAGAAGCACCGGCUAAAUACGUG